AUCUCCUUGAUAUUAACUGUUAGGAAUGGAAUGCCAAUCAGGCUUAGUGGGGAUUAAGUCCGUUGACAUUGAGUUAGAUGCUUUCCUGAUGAAGGGACAGGGUCAUAAAAAGGUUCACACUUGCGUUUUUGACUGUCUUCCUUAAAAGCCCAUCUCUCUUAAAGCAAUGAAAUAAGUGUUAGCUUAACAUUCUGACACGCUUAAAAAAAAAAUUCUGCUGGAGUGUGGGAACUCGAUACAGUACAGGAAGCACUGAGUCAUGGAGACCUAAAUGAGGAACGAAUAAACAGUCAAGUGCCGG
Molecule: long non-coding RNA, 301 nt
Filed under: Bos taurus (domestic cattle)
Lineage: Eukaryota; Metazoa; Chordata; Mammalia; Artiodactyla; Bovidae
Description: long non-coding RNA NONBTAT019773
Source: RNAcentral